Unclassified non-coding RNA from Capra hircus (goat), 306 nucleotides. Its record names the gene 7SK. It matches the Rfam family "7SK RNA". From Rfam's summary of the family: 7SK was discovered as an abundant small nuclear RNA in the mid-70s but a possible function has only recently been suggested. Two independent studies have found that 7SK RNA binds the CDK9/cyclin T complex (known as elongation factor P-TEFb). Lineage: Eukaryota; Metazoa; Chordata; Mammalia; Artiodactyla; Bovidae. The record is from Ensembl.
AUGAGGGCGAUCUGGUUGUGACACCUGUCACCCCACUGAUCGCCAGGGUGGAUUCUGCUGAUCUGGCUGGCUAGGCGGGUGUCCCCUUCUUCCCUCACAUGCCACGUGCUUCCCUCCUGAGGUUAUGCACUUGGUUGAAGAGGACGACCAUUCCCAAUAAAGGAGGACAGGUCUUCGGUCAAGGGUAUAGGACCAGCUCCACUCCCCUGCUAGAACCUCCAAACAAACUCUCAAGAUUCACUUUUUAUUUUAAAGGUGUGUACAAUAAUAACAAACGACCACACAGUCUAAUAAGAAAUACAAUUA